GGUGUAACCGGGGUACCCCCCUGAUUGGGAAACCGGGAAAGGGUUAAACCGGAUUGCCUUCAUCGCUGUGGUGGGGAAAGUUUUGGGUUUGGAGGACUCGGGCCUUUCAGCUGUUGGUGGGUAAUGCCUACCAGGCGAUGACGGUAGCCGCCUGAAAGGUGACCGGCCACACGGGAUGAGACACGGCCCAGAUUCUACGGAGGCAGCAGUGGGAAUAUGCACAAUGGCGCAAGCCUGAUGCAGCGACGCCGCCUGAGGGAUGACGGCCUUCGGGUUGUAACCUCUUUCAGUAGGGAAGAAGCGAAAGUGACGGUACCUGCAGAAGAAGCGCCGGCUAACUACGUGCCAGCAGCCGCGGUAAUACGUAGGGCGCAAGCGUUAUCCGGAAUUAUUGGGCGUAAAGAGCUCGUAGGCGGUUUGUCGCGUCUGCUGUGAAAGACCGGGGCUCAACUCCGGUUCUGCAGUGGGUACGGGCAGACUAGAGUGAUGUAGGGGAGACUGGAAUUCCUGGUGUAGCGGUGAAAUGCGCAGAUAUCAGGAGGAACACCGAUGGCGAAGGCAGGUCUCUGGGCAUUAACUGACGCUGAGGAGCGAAAGCAUGGGGAGCGAACAGGAUUAGAUACCCUGGUAGUCCAUGCCGUAAACGUUGGGCACUAGGUGUGGGGGACAUUCCACGUUUUCCGCGCCGUAGCUAACGCAUUAAGUGCCCCGCCUGGGGAGUACGGCCGCAAGGCUAAAACUCAAAGGAAUUGACGGGGGCCCGCACAAGCGGCGGAGCAUGCGGAUUAAUUCGAUGCAACGCGAAGAACCUUACCAAGGCUUGACAUGGACUGGACCGCUCUGGAAACAGGGCUUCCCUUCGGGGCUGGUUCACAGGUGGUGCAUGGUUGUCGUCAGCUCGUGUCGUGAGAUGUUGGGUUAAGUCCCGCAACGAGCGCAACCCUCGUUCCAUGUUGCCAGCACGUAGUGGUGGGGACUCAUGGGAGACUGCCGGGGUCAACUCGGAGGAAGGUGGGGACGACGUCAAAUCAUCAUGCCCCUUAUGUCUUGGGCUUCACGCAUGCUACAAUGGCCGGUACAAUGGGUUGCGAUACUGUGAGGUGGAGCUAAUCCCAAAAAGCCGGUCUCAGUUCGGAUUGGGGUCUGCAACUCGACCCCAUGAAGUCGGAGUCGCUAGUAAUCGCAGAUCAGCAACGCUGCGGUGAAUACGUUCCCGGGCCUUGUACACACCGCCCGUCAAGUCACGAAAGUUGGUAACACCCGAAGCCGGUGGCCUAACCCCUUUGUGGGAGGAGCCGUCGAGGC
Molecule: ribosomal RNA, 1305 nt
Filed under: Arthrobacter sp.
Lineage: Bacteria; Bacillati; Actinomycetota; Actinomycetes; Micrococcales; Micrococcaceae
Description: bacterial SSU rRNA
Rfam family: Bacterial small subunit ribosomal RNA
Source: RNAcentral